Molecule: long non-coding RNA, 1625 nt
Organism: Nilaparvata lugens (brown planthopper)
Lineage: Eukaryota; Metazoa; Arthropoda; Insecta; Hemiptera; Delphacidae
Exons: 5
Source: RefSeq, a predicted model, not a curated record
UGCCGACCGACUUCGUUCUUUUUUGAGGUUAUGCUUUCGUCGCCGACCUCAUUUUUGUUUAGCGGCUUAAAUCUAUUUACAUUUACAUUCUUAAAACUAGAAUCCAAAACAUAUUUAUUAACUUAUGUAAAAUCGCGUUUAAAGUAUUAAACAGCAUUGAUUGCUAAAAUGGUGCAACCAGUUCCUGAAAAUAUAGAUUUUCCAAAGGAAGAAGAAAAGAUUCUGAACCUUUGGAAAUAUAUUAACGUAUUUCAGGAGUGUUUAAAAUAUUCUAUAGGCAAACCGAGAGGAUGUGAUCCUGUGACCUGGCAAUGGCGGUCCUCGGAAACUUCCCCACUGAAACCAGAUUAGGCCUACCUAUGAUUUAUUUCCAUAGGAUGGAUUACGCCGCCGGCAACAUAAUCAGGAAUACGAAAUCGACAAAACGUUGGGAUUCAAGGGCUCCGAUGACUUCAUGAAAUUGAGAAUAGCCGCAUACAACAGUGAAUGCCGUAAAAUGGUUAUGUGAUAUUCGACUGAAUGGGAGACAAUUGUUAAGCGUAUUGGUCGAUGGAUUGACUUUGAAAACGACUAUAAAACACUGUACCCGUGGUUCAUGGAGAGCGUCUGGUGGGUGUUUUCCGAACUGUGGAACAAUGGUUUUAUCUACAGGGGAGUCAAGGUCAUGCCCUUCACGACCGCUUGCAUCACUCUUCUCUCUAACUUCGAGUCCGGACAGAACUUCAAGGAGGUCGUUGAAUCUUGCGGUACGUUAGCGUUUCUCUGGCUGGUGGUUCAAGUCCAGGCCUCAGUUUAACAGGCGUUAGCGGCUCAAUCCUGCUCGAGAACCCAGUCUGGGAAAAUGUGCUGACACUGCGACAGCUGACCGACGAAGUUAGCAGCACACUGUUCGGCCUGCAGAGUCGCUCCAUCACUCUGGUAGACAGCGCCGGAAAACAGCUGACUCAGGCGUCCAUAUCGAAAAUGGCGUCAACUGUGAUAACGUGUUCACUAUAAUAGGGUUAAGAGACUAUGGGCUGUUUUUAUAAACUAUUUUAAUAAUACUGUCUUAGCUAAGUAAGCGUUUAUGAACAAAUCAGAACUAUUCUUGUAGUUUGACUAUUAUUAUUGGUUUUUUAUUGGUUGCUUAGCAACGAACCGCGCUUUGCUGAGACUGUUCUUUAUAAUAUUUUAUUAAUAACUAUUCAUAAUUCUAAAUACUGAAUAUUAACUCAACGAUUAUGAUUGGAUCCUGUUAUUGGCUGGUCAGCAACAAAACGUGCUUUGCUAAGACCGUUCUUGAUAAUUGUUUAUAAAUACUGCACCUUUGACAUGGGGUGUAACCACGUAGGGCACAUUGCUUAGUGUGAGUUUGAACUUGAAUCUACUGGUGAAUUAGAUGUAGCUACGGUCUGAUAUAUUGUAGUGUGAUGAGUUUUCAGUUGAAAUCAUCGUAUUACUUUUAUUCAGAAUAAUUAUCUUACACUGUGCUAACAGCCUAUAAUUUGAAGUAGGAACUUCAGUCUACUUUUGAAGAUGAGAAUAUUUUUAGCCAAAGGUUUAAACUUGUAGCCUACGGUUUUAUUAAAUCAAUACAACCUCUAUUGAAUAAUGUGAUAAUAAAAAUAGAGUGAGUUAUUUAAAAA